This is a long non-coding RNA of Ornithodoros turicata, 521 nucleotides long. RefSeq lists it as uncharacterized. The transcript is spliced from 3 exons. NCBI's taxonomy places the organism in Eukaryota, Metazoa, Arthropoda, Arachnida, Ixodida, Argasidae. The record is from RefSeq and is a predicted model, not a curated record.
CGCACGGUUGUCAGCGUUCUGUCAAAGCGCUGUCGUCGGGCAGUGGAAUACGAUUGGAAGGACCCCCCACCCCCAUGACGGCCUAAUCCAACUUCUCCGAGAGAGGCGACGCUGAGCGCUCUGCCACAAGAUACCCCGUAGCAGACGACAGUGUAGCCGAUGGUGUCGCCUGCUAUCUACGCAGUAUGCCACUCCAGCCCUGUGCCCAGCCAGGUGCCCUGCGAAUGCUCAGCGUAUAAGACGCGGCUAAACUUCUGCACCGGUAGCUAUAACUGAGUGCAGCCGGUGACUGGUGGCUGGAAAGGAUUUGGCACAAUAACGGAUUGGUGGAACAUCGGUGAACCAUGGGGUUCCUGUCGCCCUGUUUCCUGUCGUCCCUCGUAAGGUACCUCGCUGCCACCACCUUCGCUUCUGUUGACAUCUCGCCAGCUGUGAGGCGUCGUCCUUAAAAAAAAAAAAAAAAAAUGACGGGGAAGCACUGCUGCCAAAGUUUCGGUUUAAAUAAAUUGUCUCGAAAUGAG